RNAcentral lists this ribosomal RNA (472 nucleotides) under uncultured bacterium. RNAcentral's name for it is "bacterial SSU rRNA". It matches the Rfam family "Bacterial small subunit ribosomal RNA", at positions 328 to 793 of the family's 1533-position model. The record is from RNAcentral.
GUAAAGCACUCCUACGGGAGGCAGCAGUGGGGAAUAUUGCACAAUGGGCGCAAGCCUGAUGCAGCCAUGCCGCGUGUAUGAAGAAGGCCUUCGGGUUGUAAAGUACUUUCAGCAGUGAGGAAGGUGGGUAUGUUAAUAGCAUAUUCAUUUGACGUUAGCUGCAGAAGAAGCACCGGCUAACUCCGUGCCAGCAGCCGCGGUAAUACGGAGGGUGCGAGCGUUAAUCGGAAUUACUGGGCGUAAAGCGCAUGCAGGUGGUUUGUUAAGUCAGAUGUGAAAGCCCGGGGCUCAACCUCGGAAUUGCAUUUGAAACUGGCAAACUAGAGUACUGUAGAGGGGGUAGAAUUUCAGGUGUAGCGGUGAAAUGCGUAGAGAUCUGAAGGAAUACCGGUGGCGAAGGCGGCCCCCUGGACAGAUACUGACACUCAGAUGCGAAAGCGUGGGGAGCAAACAGGAUUAGAUACCCUGGUAG